UUAAUAUUGAACCAUCUGCUCACUGCCCUUACAAAUAUUACGAAUUUGAAUAAUAAAAGUACCUUUUUUCGUUUGUUUCUGAUGUCUUCGGAUGAAGCUGUAGCCCCUCUGAGAGGAGAAGCCAUGUUGGCAUGCCUCUCAGCCAAUCAGAGCGGAAGAGGGAGGGAGGGAGAGGCAUGGGCAUCGAUCUGCUAGCAUUUAAAAAAAAAUGUUGCUUCAAAAAUCCCCAAAAAUCAGUGGAUGGGUCAAACAUUAUGAAACUUGAUAGGCAAAGAGUACUUAAUUUUUGCUUCUAUUCUGGCAAAUUUCAUCAUAAUAGCUUUCAUAAUGCAGGAGAACGAAGCCUCUGAAUAUUGACCAUUCUUUUAAGUGGAAAUGAAGCAAUUCGCCAUAACGAGAGAAAAAACUCCAUUUCCCAGAAGCCUUAGCAAGCCAAUCAAAGUGGAAGGAAGAAGGACAGGGAGGCGUGGCUAUCGAUCUGCUAACAUUUUAAAAUAAUGUUGCUUCAGAAAUCCCCAAAAAUCAGUGGAUGGGUCAAACAUUAUGAAACUUGAUAGGCUAAGAGUACUUAAUUUUUGCUUCCAUUCUGGCAAAUUUCAUCAUAAUAGCUUUCAUAAUGCAGGAGAACGAAGCCUCUGAAUAUUGACCAUUCUUUUAAGUGGAAAUGAAGCAAUUCGCCAUAACGAGAGAAAAAACUCCAUUUCCCAGAAGCCUUAGCAAGCCAAUCAAAGUGGAAGGAAGAAGGACAGGGAGGCGUGGCCAUCGAUCUGCUAACAUUUAAAAAAAAUGUUGCUUCAGAAAUCCCCAAAAAUCAGUGGAUGGGUCAAACAUUAUGAAACUUGAUAGGCUAAGAGUACUUAAUUUUUGCUUCCAUUCUGGCAAAUUUCAUCAUAAUAGCUUUCAAAAUGCAGGAGAACGAAGCCUCUGAAUAUUGACCAUUUAUAAAAGCAUUGGGCUGAAGCAAACGUUUCUCCAAUAGUACUAUGCCCACUUGCAAACUACAAUUCCCAGGUGUUCCAAGCCCUCUCUCCUCUUAACGUUCCCCACCCCCUUUUGUCCUCACUUAGAAUCAUAGCGUCAUUGAACAGUAGAGUUGGAAGAGACCUCGUGGGCCAUCCAGCCCAACCCCUUCUGCCAGGCAGGAAGACACCAUCCAAUCCCUCCCAACAGAUGGCCAUCCAGCCUCUGCUUAAAAGCCUCCAAAGAAGAAACCUCCACUACAGCCUGGGGAGAGAGUUCCACAGCUGAACAGCUCACAGUGAGGAAGUUCUUCCUAAUGUUCAGGUGAAAUCUCCUUUCCUGUAGUUUAAAGCCAUUGUUCAGUGUCCUAGUCUGCAGGGCAGCAGAAAACAAGCUUGCUCCCUCCUCUCUAUGACUUCCCCUCACAUAUUAUACAUCAUGUCUCCUCUCAGCCUUCUUUUCUGCAGGCUAAACAUGCCCAGUUCUUCAAGCCACUCCUCAUAGGGCUUGUUCUCCAGACCCUAGAUCAUUUUAGUUGCCCUCCUCUGACCAUCUUGACCAAACUUUCAUACAGUAUGUGAAUUCUUGGAAGGUAUGAGAAGUUUAGAGAGAAGGAGGGAGGAAGAGGUUUGAAUUUUGGACUCCAAUUGUGGCAUGAUUCCCCACUCUGCCACCCACUUGGGCAAGUCACACACUCUCAGCCCAGAAAAGCCAAUGAAACAGGAAAUAGCACUUUCAAACCAGGAACUAAUUUCCUUAUUCAGAGGCUGAUGGCCAUCUGUCAGGAAGGAUUUGAUGGUGUACUAUGAUUUCUGUUCCUGGGUGAUAAAUGUCAUUUCCUAAUUGGUUCUGUCAUAGAAACAUGGCAAAAUCUAUGACACUGCCUGAACUUUGUGCAAGCGACAUGGAUGGAACAUAUUAUGGUUUGGUCCACCAAUUUAACAAAGUUUCAGCCACAAAAACAAAGUUUCUGAAGUAGAACAAUGACUUUCACAGUAAUGACAACCCAAUGAAACAGGAAAUAAGACUUUCAAACCAGGAACAGAUUUCUGCAAUUAUUAAAAAAUGGUUUAUUAUAAAAGCUAUGAAAAUUCGCCAAAAAUCAGAGGAUAAGGGAAACGUUCCAAAUUUUGGUGAGCUAUCAGUGUUAAAUGUGUUCUACCACUGUACCAUGUUUGAAGAAGAUCACUCAAAAAAUGAGGGCGGGAGAGUCCUGUAAAAUCUCCCCUCGUGCUGUUUUUUUUUUUGGCCACUGCGCAUGCCAAAACGAAUUAAUUUAGAAAAUAACGAAUUUUCGUUAAUUUCGAAUUUUUUGGGGGGCAAAAUUCGGAAAUGACAUGAGAAACGAAACGCUGGCGCCCCCUACUUUUGAAAUGAGUUUAGAAUCAAUUUUUUCAUGGAUCGCUCAAGCCUAGUAAUUACGACAUAACAUUACUGUGUAUUGAACUUCUUUUUCUGUCAAAUUUGUUGUCUAACAUGAUGUUUUGGUGCUUAAUUUGUAAAAUCAUAACCUAAUUUGAUGUUUAAUAGGCUUUUCCUUAAUGCCUCCUUAUUAUCCAACAUAUUUGCUUAUCCAACAUUCUGCUGGCCCGUUUAUGUUGGAUAAGUGAUACUCUACUGUACUUCUGAAUUGCUGGAGUACCGUGAUGCAUUCGGGUUUGCUACACUUUUUUUUAGCUACAGGAAAACUACCAGAUAUGCCAUCAUUCACUUUUUCCCCUGAUCUCCAGCAAUUGAGAAGUGGCCAUGUUGGGGAGAAAGGAUUGAGCAUUUUUUUUGAGAGACAACAAACCAUAGAAAUGAAUUGCACAAGGUAGACUUAUGGUAUUUUAAUUAAUGAACAGAGGUCCUGCUUGUAUUUUCAUUAUCUGUUUGGUCUAUGUGCCUAUAUUCUUUUUAUCACAUUGGUAAAUAGGGUUGCAAGUUUAGAUUCAGACCAAGCCCUGAGAUCAAAACUGAAGUUCUCUAUUGAUAUCAUUAAGUAUUACGCAUUAAUUAUAGAGGGAAACAGCUUGACAUUCCAACAUACGUGAACAGCCACCCAUCCACACACCCACAACAUUUUUGCCUGUUAGGAAAUUUAGACCGAAAUCUUAUUUACAGGGAGUGUUUCCAUAUCAGGGUGAAACAGGGAGCAUUUUUAUUCUCACUGCCUUAAGGUUCAGGAACAUUUAAUCUGGCCUGAUUGCUCCUAGCUAAGAGGUAAAUGAAGAACAAAGUUGAGGGUGAGCAUUGGCACUACAAAAACUGGAAAACUAACUAACUACAGAGACCCACCCCGCCUGGACAGUAUUUCCAAGAUGCAACAAUCAAUCCGUUAAUAAUUGGGAAUUAUAGCAAUCUUUUGUUCUCCUGAGUUGGAGAUUUCCAUGUUUUCCUUUUGAAUAUGAAAAUUUGCAUCCUUGUUUCCAACUUGGAGAUGACCGACAAAGACUGGAUUCCCUUGGCCAGGCCUUUGGAUUGGCAACUCUAUUGAUAAAGCCUAUAAGGAAAUAGAAGAUGUUUUGUGCUCCUCUUCCUUCAGCUAUCAAGAUUUAAAGAAGCUCCCUUAUACAAAUGCUGUGCUUCAUGAGAUUCAGCGUUCAAAGUAUACUCUCAUAACUGGGAUUCCAAGACAAACUGCCAAAGAUGUGAAGAUGAGAGGUUUUCUCAUCCCUAAGGGGACAAUCAUUGUACCAAAUCUACGCUCUGUUCCUCUUGAUCCUGAGCACUGGGAGUCUCCUAAAGAGUUCAAUCCAAAACAUUUUUUGGACCAGGAUGGACAUUUUGUUGCUAGAGAAGCGUAUCUGGCAUUUGGUGCAGGGGCUCGGGUGUGUUUGGGGGAGCAGCUGGCAAGGAUGGAGUUCUUCAUCUUCUUGGUCAGUCUGCUGAGGGCCUUCCAUUUCCAGCUGCCUCCAGGAGUCAAUGAAGAACUCAAUGAAGAACCUGUAGUAGGAGUGUCAACACCACCUCAUCCUUAUAAAGUGUGUGCAGUUCCUCGCUGUAGUUCAUCAUAAAGCAUACAAAAAUAAUUACAAUGGCAUAAACUUUAUUGCUGCAAUUUUAAAUAAAAUCCAGACUUCA
Anolis carolinensis (green anole) is the source of this 4023-nucleotide RNA transcript. It is a transcript of the gene named cytochrome P450 2K1-like, with no coding region annotated. Lineage: Eukaryota; Metazoa; Chordata; Lepidosauria; Squamata; Anolidae. The record is from RefSeq and is a predicted model, not a curated record. The transcript is spliced from 4 exons.